This is a non-coding RNA of Rattus norvegicus (Norway rat), 456 nucleotides long. The record is from RefSeq and is a predicted model, not a curated record. NCBI's taxonomy places the organism in Eukaryota, Metazoa, Chordata, Mammalia, Rodentia, Muridae.
AAACAAACCCACUCAGAUACACUGAAAUGUUAUCUGGUGCUCAGCAAAUAAACCACAACCAUCCUUACAACUCUUUCCAGUAUCCAAAAGACUUAGUCCCCUUGCCACCAAACCCUCUGGGCCAUCAUCAGGUAGGUAAGACAAGGGCAAUUUCCUCUUGCUGCGUAAAACGCUUCUGUAUGCCCCAAACCUUUAUCCUGUUAAGUAAUGACUCAGCUUUUGCCUGGGACUCACCCUUUCCCACAUUGUAAGACUAAAGCUGUCUAAGGCCUUCACAAGCUUUCCUAGCUGUGCUGUCUGUCAUCACUUGAUCAGCCACCCACGCUAGCACCUGUUCCUAUACCUUCCCAGCUGCCCAGCAUUUCCUUCCCAUCCGCUCUCUAUAAACAAUGCUAUUUUCAAGAUGCCCCACACUGACACAGGAGUCACUCCUUUACACGGUGCCAAGCCCCCCCC